CUUCUCCUUUUCUUCUUCUCUUCCUUCUUCUUCCACGUCUUUUCUUUCUUCUUCUGGGUUUUUUCUUCUUUUGACAGCAAGGGUUGCUGCUGCGGGGGCAGACUGCUGGGGCACGGGCUGCAAGUGCUUGGCGGGGUAGCUGCAAGUGCUUGGGCUGCUGGGGGCAGGACGCAGGGAGCAGCAGGAAGUUGCGGCAGGAGGUAUGGCAGUGGGCUGCAGGCUUGCGGCAGGAGGCUGCUUGGAUCUGCAAGGCGCGGGGAUGGUUUAGCAGGCGAGGAGUUGCGCGGGGGCAGUGGGCUGGGAUACAGAUAGAGAUGGAGGCUGGUGAUGUGCGCGGCUGGUGUGCAGCGCGGGCUGGCUGGAGGCUGCGGCUGAAUUUGGUUAGAACUCGUGCUGAUAACGUGUUGUAG
Molecule: long non-coding RNA, 410 nt
Filed under: Rosa chinensis
Lineage: Eukaryota; Viridiplantae; Streptophyta; Magnoliopsida; Rosales; Rosaceae
Description: sRNA RchiOBHm_Chr4g0385891
Source: RNAcentral